Molecule: RNA transcript, 1093 nt
Organism: Camelina sativa (false flax)
Lineage: Eukaryota; Viridiplantae; Streptophyta; Magnoliopsida; Brassicales; Brassicaceae
Gene name: small ribosomal subunit protein eS21y
Source: RefSeq, a predicted model, not a curated record
UUUUUGCAUCUCAUUUUUUUCGUUUUCUCUCUCUCUCUUUCUCUCGCGAUUGAGAGAAAACGAAGAUUUGUAUUGGAAUCUUCUGGGUGUGGAGGAAGAGGAGAUUGCUGUCGGAGGAGAUGCUCAUCAUCGUGAAUUGAUGAGUCAGCCGUGUCCUAUCGCGAUAUUUUGAAUGAAUCGUGAAUCGGCUCCGAUUGCAUGUACGAAGGAAUUUGGAAUCAGAAGGCAGGGAAAAAUUGAAAGAGAAUCAUCUCGAUCCGGUGGCGGUGACGCUGAAGGAGAAGAGUAGAGAGGUAAAAGAUAAGCUUUGGAGGAUUGUUUAUCAAACAGGUUUCUUUGUGAUUUGCAAAAACAGUCAACAAUGGUGGAGCGUGGGAAGAGGAAUCAUAACCGUUUAGAGACACUAACAAUGAGAACAACAUAUACCUGGUGAGUCUGAAUCAGUGAAGAAGGCACUUUUCGCUGCUUCUGCAAUCAUGUACAAAGUCAGUCCUCGAGAACAGAUUCCUCUUGAUACAACUGUCCAAGAAGUUCCCGCUAGUUUUAUAAUUCCUUCAGAGCUAUAUGUUUAUCCACAAGCCGGUUUAUAUUUGUGUACAAUUGUUUGUUUGUUUUGUAUCAAAACGUGAAUCCUGAGUAAUGAUGUUUGUAUUUGAAAAAAAUGCUGUAAGAUGAGGUUCUUGCUAAGUUCUUGAAGAGACAUGGAGAAGCAGCUCGGCUACUAUCAGGUUGAUCACAUCAAAGGAUCAUGCUUCUGUGCAGCUCAACAUUGGUCAUCUCGAUGCUGAUGGGGUGUACACUGGUCAAUUCACUACAUUUGCUCUCUGCGGUUUUGUCCGUGCUCAGGGUGAUGCCGACAGUGGAGUCGACAGGCUAUGGUAGAAGAAGAAGAAGAUUGAAGCCAAACAACAGUAAGACCAACAAGCUUUGUUUUCUAGUUUCUAGGUUUCUUUUUGAAAUCUAGAUGUGAACCUUUAUCUUCAUCACAAUCUAUUUCUCUUUAUCACAAUCUUCUCUUUUCACCUAUGUAACAUAUCCAUCAAAAGUUAAAUCAUGAUUCUUGAUGAUUCUUAUUUAGUAUUCUCUACUACUA